GGGGGGGGGGGGGGGGAGCCAUCCCGAAGAAGCUGGCUCCCCCAUUCUUUUUUAGGGCUUCUCCUCUCAUUGAAGGGAUUGGAAGAGGAGCCGCUGCCAGCCGAGAGAGAGGGAGAGAGAGAGAGAGAGCCGCUGAAGCCCCGCUCCUCUUCGGUUCGGGUGGUCUUUCGCUACUUUCUUUACCGCCGGAGAAGAAAAAAGCCGCCGGAUCUUCGCCGAGGCUGAGGUUCUGCAAGGAAUUUGUGAGAUUAAUUGGAUUGUUGUGGAUCGCGUUCAAUAUCCGAAGAGUUAGCUCGAUCCGGGGUUUUACAAUAUGGGAGAGCGAAUACAAGAAUUAUGACACAAGUUAUCUUAGAUUAGGUUUUAUUUAAAUUAAUGUUCUAUCUUUAUUGUUUCGCUGCGCAUUGAGAACUGUGAAACUUUAUAAUUUGUGUCGGUCAAUGGAAUAAGAUUGCAUUUAUUUCAGCUGAA
Phoenix dactylifera (date palm) is the source of this 471-nucleotide non-coding RNA. The record is from RefSeq and is a predicted model, not a curated record. NCBI's taxonomy places the organism in Eukaryota, Viridiplantae, Streptophyta, Magnoliopsida, Arecales, Arecaceae.